This 552-nucleotide ribosomal RNA is filed under the name uncultured archaeon. RNAcentral describes it as "partial 16S ribosomal RNA". The record is from RNAcentral.
GUGCUCCCCCGCCAAUUCCUUUAAGUUUCAGCCUUGCGGCCGUACUUCCCAGGUGGUAGGCUUACUGGCUUCCCUGCGGCACUGGGACAGCUCGUAGCCGUCCCAACACCUAGCCUACAUCGUUUACAGCUGGGACUACCGGGGUAUCUAAUCCCGUUCGCUCCCCCAGCUUUCGUCCCUCACCGUCGGGCGCGCUUUAGUCGGCCGCCUUCGCCACUGGUGGUCCUCCCGGGAUUAUAGGAUUUCGCCCCUACCCCGGGACUACCGCCGACCUCCCUCGCCCCCAAGCCGAAGAGUAUUCCCCGCAGCCCGACGAUUGGAUCGUCGGAUUUAACGGGGAACUUUUCCGGCCGGCUACGGACGCUUCAGACCCAAUAAUCGUCCCAACCACUCGGGGAGCUGGUAUUACCGCGGCGGCUGACACCAGACUUGCCCUUCCCUUAUUCACCCGGCUAGUUAUACCAGGCAAAAGCCAUCCUCAGCGGACGGCACUCGGGAUGACCCCGUCACGCUUUCGCGCAUUGCGGAGUUUUCGCGCCUGCUGCACCCCGU